CUUCAACGGAGAGUUUGAUCCUGGCUCAGGACGAACGCUGGCGGCGUGCUUAACACAUGCAAGUCGAGCGGUAAGGCCCUUCGGGGUACACGAGCGGCGAACGGGUGAGUAACACGUGGGUGAUCUGCCUCGCACUUCGGGAUAAGCCUGGGAAACUGGGUCUAAUACCGGAUAUGACUUCCAGCUGCAUGGUUGGUGGUGGAAAGAUUUAUCGGUGCGAG
This 221-nucleotide ribosomal RNA is filed under the name Nocardia amikacinitolerans. RNAcentral's name for it is "partial 16S rRNA. Bacterial SSU". It matches the Rfam family "Bacterial small subunit ribosomal RNA", at positions 1 to 224 of the family's 1533-position model. Lineage: Bacteria; Bacillati; Actinomycetota; Actinomycetes; Mycobacteriales; Nocardiaceae. The record is from RNAcentral.